RNAcentral lists this ribosomal RNA (253 nucleotides) under uncultured bacterium. RNAcentral describes it as "partial 16S ribosomal RNA". It matches the Rfam family "Bacterial small subunit ribosomal RNA", at positions 524 to 776 of the family's 1533-position model. The record is from RNAcentral.
UACGGGGGGGGCAAGCGUUGUUCGGAAUUACUGGGCGUAAAGGGCUCGUAGGUGGCCAACUAAGUCAGACGUGAAAUCCCCAGGCUUAACCUGGGAACUGCGUCUGAUACUGGAUGGCUUGAAUUCGGGAGAGGGAUGCAGAAUUCCAGGUGUAGCGGUGAAAUGCGUAGAUAUCUGGAGGAAUACCGGUGGCGAGGGCGGCAUCCUGGACCGAGAUUGACACUGAUGAGCGAAAGCUAGGGGAGCAAACGGG